CCUACGGGAGGCAGCAGUGGGGAAUAUUGCGCAAUGGACGAAAGUCUGACGCAGCAACGCCGCGUGAGGGAUGACGGCCUUCGGGUUGUAAACCUCUUUCAGCAGGGACGAAGCGAGAGUGACGGUACCUGCAGAAGAAGGACCGGCCAACUACGUGCCAGCAGCCGCGGUAAUACGUAGGGUCCGAGCGUUGUCCGGAAUUAUUGGGCGUAAAGGGCUCGUAGGCGGUUCGUCACGUCGGGAGUGAAAACUCGGAGCUCAACUCCGAGCCUGCUUCCGAUACGGGCAGACUAGAGGUAGGCAGGGGAGAGCGGAACUCCUGGUGUAGCGGUGGAAUGCGCAGAUAUCAGGAAGAACACCGGUGGCGAAGGCGGCUCUCUGGGCCUUACCUGACGCUGAGGAGCGAAAGCGUGGGUAGCGAACAGGAUUAGAUACCCUGGUAGUCCACGCCGUAAACGUUGGGCGCUAGGUGUGGGGGACAUUCCACGUCCUCCGUGCCGCAGCUAACGCAUUAAGCGCCCGCCUGGGGAGUACGGCCGCAAGGCUAAACUCAAAUGAAUUGACGGCUGAGACGNGCGAGCGACACGAGGAGAG
This 594-nucleotide ribosomal RNA is filed under the name uncultured bacterium. RNAcentral's name for it is "bacterial SSU rRNA". It matches the Rfam family "Bacterial small subunit ribosomal RNA", at positions 338 to 943 of the family's 1533-position model. The record is from RNAcentral.